UUUUUUUUUUUCUUUCUAGCUCCAAUUGAAUUUGAUUCCAAUCUCGAUUUUGGUAUCGAAUUGGAUAUGAUCCUGGAAACAAUUUUUGAUGAAGGCCAACUUUUUAGUUGUGAUGAGCCAGCAACUACGUCACAGGCUGUAAUAGAUACAGAUUUGGUAGAGGUUGUGGUGGUCAGCGAAUCAGCCGCUGAGACUUCGUCGCGAUCUGUUGCCACACAGACAGAGGACGCGUCUUUUGAAUUGAACACGGGCGAGACAACAUCUCCGAGGUCUGGACACGCUGACGGGUCAACCACUGGAUAUGGUCUUGGCCAGAAUAAGAAAAUAUUUCAAAACCUGACAACGAUUCUGACGAAGAGAAAGAACAAAAUUACGAAUCCAAAGGAGCGGAUCUCUGGCAUGAGAAUGAAGAGAAUGUGAUAAAAGGAGCAUAUGAUGAAGAGUCUUGUGAUAUUGAAAAACACGUACCAUCAGAAAUUUUAGAUUUAUUUAGACCGAGAGAUCUAGCACAUUUGAACUAUGAAAUUAUGUGCCGGGCAAACCGUAACUUCGAACGGGUUUUACGAUUGAAUUCAGCGGCGCUGACCUUCGAAGAAACCACUGAUGCUGUGUGAACUGGUCAGGAUCUGGUUAUAAACAUUUUACAGAGUGUUGUCAACUCCCAACAUCAGAAUGCAGAAGUUCUAGCACAGAGCGCCUUAUUUUGGAGGAGCUGUCACGAGGAAAACCAGCAACGGUUUCAAGAUUUGUUUCAGUACAUUUUCGGUGUACCAGAAAAGGUAGAGGAACACAGAAACGAAUUACGGCUACUUGUUAACGCGGUCACCCUUGUAGGUGAGAGAUUAAAUGUUAUCCAACGUAUGAUAAGUGACACUUACAAAAUAACAAUAAUUAUACCAUUUGUA
Molecule: non-coding RNA, 905 nt
Organism: Danio rerio (zebrafish)
Lineage: Eukaryota; Metazoa; Chordata; Actinopteri; Cypriniformes; Danionidae
Source: RefSeq, a predicted model, not a curated record